UGCGCCACCUCCCAGCUUUCGUUCAUUUUGUGGCUCAGACUGAGGUCCGGUCGGAUAUGGACGUCCACGAGAAGAGAUCUACGCAAAGUGGUAUUCCUGUGAAGAAUGGAGAGAAUUUUGGUCUCCGCUGAUGAGAGAUCUGUUGGCACAGUGAACAUCUGAUGCCAGGUGUGGUGACCCUAAGAUGGACUCACUGGGUUGACGGAUACAGCUAGACUGUGGUGGAAAAUCCAGGUUGAUGCUUUCACUUCACUGGAAUGGCUGGAGGAUUUGCACCAUGUAGUCCUGUGACGUCAACCGUCUAUUACUAUGGCCAGUGUGUGACCCUGAGGAUCUGCCGAUUGGAACCUGUUCUAAGGGGCUUCUAAGAACUGGAAUUGUGGGGAUGAGAUGGAUCAAGUCAAUCUCUUAUCAACUUGUGAACUGGACAUUGAUUAUUAAUCCCUAAAUAAAAGGUGUGCUGAACUGGA
This is a long non-coding RNA of Anguilla anguilla (European eel), 470 nucleotides long. RefSeq lists it as uncharacterized. NCBI's taxonomy places the organism in Eukaryota, Metazoa, Chordata, Actinopteri, Anguilliformes, Anguillidae. The transcript has 9 exons. The record is from RefSeq and is a predicted model, not a curated record.